UCAACCUCUAAGUAUUGGGGAGUAGGCUGAAAGCUUCACAGGGAUUCAUUAUCCCACAUCUGCCUAUUGCUGGACUCUUUCGCCUUCCUCUAAGGCACCUGGAACUGACAACUAUCAGCAACACUGUACAAGGCUGGGUUGAAAUUCCAGAAGCUGGUGGGGAAAGGUUAUGUAAAGAGGAUUGUUGAUUAAAACUCUCUCCCAUCAAAAUGGAAUAGCUGUAAACAAUAGACUGACCCCCAACCAGGAGAACUGAUUCAACAGGGCAGAGGUUGCUUGGAAAGGAAGUCACCUAGUAGGUGUGUCUGGUCAUCUGAGGAGGCUGAUCAGGAAGUUACCAGACAGAGGGAUGGAAGGGUAGAAACUGCUCUUGUUUGCCCUCUGUUUCUGAUGUAUCUCACCAGCUCAAGCUGAGAGGAGAUGCAAGUAGGAUCAUGAAGAGGCAAGAGAAACUCUGCUUUCCUAAACACAGUUGGAUUCCCAAGUGUGGAAGAAGAUAAUGAAGAGAGAGGAGCAGACUGCCUGGCUGUAAAUCUAACUGCAGAACACGUGGGAUCCCAAAAUUGUCCUGCUACAAUCUGUGGUAGCAGAAGAUGCUCAAGCAGCCUUUUUGCAGUAAUGAUGGUGGAUGCUCAAUGGACAGUUGAAGGACUUUAUUUGCAAGCUGACAGCCUGCACUGAAAACUUGAGUCAUUGGCCUUUUGACUGGUGAGUGGGACAAUGUCUUCAGCCAACAGCCCAAAUUAGCUGAAGAGGGAAAGUGUUAUGGGAAUGGUUAAUCCUAAUGGCACAACUGUCAGAGCUGAUAAAGUAUUCUAUUUGUUGGUACCACCAAAACCAGUGCAAGCAUUGACAAGGCAUCCACUAUCUCUCUAUGACAGCUCUUUGGAUCCUUCAUUGUCCCUUCACCCUCAAGACAAUGAGACAGACAUCACAUUUUGUGUUUACUUCUUGUGGAAAAUUCUCAGGUACCACUGGGAUGGGGAGCUUUAAAACGACUUAGCAAGACAGAUCAUCUUUCUGACAAAUCAAAGUAUGAAUCAGAAUUGGAAAGAUAUUUGCAAACAUUUUUGCCCACUAUUCACUCACCUGAACUUACAAAUGUGGGACCAGAUUCAGUACCUGGCUUCUGCAGAACCCAAGCUCCUGGGUGCUGGCAACAGAAUGUCUGUGUAGAAUACAGAUGAAGUGAUUGUAACCUUCCAUCAGGAGCUUGCUGAUGUACCUCAGAAAGUGGAUUGUUUGCCUAGAUGAUCUCAAUAUUGACAGCACAUUAAACAGGUGAUAAGAAGGUACACUUUGUAUGGACGGUCACCCACACUGGAACUCUGACAAUGAACCCAAGAACAUGAACAAUCAAAGUAAAGCAUCUUUCAUCUUUUAAAAUAUUUCAUGGUUUUUUAUAUCUGAUUUGAUUUAGAAUGAUUAACGCAGUAAAAGGCUUAAACUGUUCUGUUUGGAUGUAAAAUGGAUUUAAUUUUCAGCACAGUUCCCAGCUGAUGGGU
This is a long non-coding RNA of Mauremys reevesii (Reeves's turtle), 1505 nucleotides long. RefSeq lists it as uncharacterized. The transcript has 7 exons. The record is from RefSeq and is a predicted model, not a curated record. NCBI's taxonomy places the organism in Eukaryota, Metazoa, Chordata, Testudines, Geoemydidae.